GAACCCAUAGUUGGGCAGAGGUGCCACAUGUGACCCCUCUCAGGAUGGGUGCUGCUAGAUGUAUAUGUAAGGAAUCAGCUCCAAAUGCAUCUUUGCAGACUCCGUGCAUAACCGCUUACGGUGGUAGGAUGUUUCCAAAUGCCUUGUUUGUUAUUUUUUUUCAUUUUAUUUAAACACAAACAUGAGCUUAAUUCACCUUGAAGGGUACCAUAAGAAUUCGCCAGUAUUAAUUUUCAUUUACGGGUCACAGAUGCCUUAAUCAACUUGUCCUCGAAUCUUUUUCAGUUUCUAAAGUGAGGACACAGAAAUGACAAAACCACAAAUCCCUGUUUUUUUGUAGCCAUAGUCAGUUUGUAGCAGGUAACAACUUUGACUUUUCUCCCUGUUUUCAGGUUUUCAGCCAUUGAAGGAAUCAAGGAAGGAAAAUGUGCAGGUAGAAAAGCAAGCACCUUCUUGAAGAUUGAAGGGACUGACAGUGGGAGAAUGAGAUGAAAAGAACUAGGGUAAAGCAGAAGAUAAAAGGAACAAAGAUCUAAGAAAGUGAAAAGCAAACCACACCAAAAGACAAUCUUUUUCCCUGUUCUUGUCUUCAGACUAUAAACUUCAAUAUGGAUUGGGUGACAUUUCCAGCAUCACACUGGAGGAAAGCUCAAGGGAAAACAGAGUCAAGAGGGGACUUUUGCUCACUGUGACUUCCGGACAAAUGCCAAGGUGUGCUACAGCCUUCCACAUAGUAGUGUUUACUCUCCUCCCAAUGACUAUUCAUUUACUCUUGUCUCCCAUCUUUCCUUCUGCUAAAGACCAUUCUCGAUUCCUAGCCUGUUACUUGGAAGAACAGAGCUACAGACAGCUGCCAUGGGGUCCACACGCCAUUGCCUCAUCCACACAUUACUCUUACAGGAAGACCAAAGAAGCUAUAAAAAAGCUCCCCACCAGGGUGACAGAUCUAAAAGCUGUUGGAAUCAUACCUGGCCAAAGGAAGGGGAAGAUGUUUUCCACUCCAGCAUUCCAGCUUGCAGGCUCAGAGAAGCACCUCUCCAGAGAGAUAAACCCUACAUUAAAGUCAUAGAGUAACUGUGCAUAGUUAGGAAAGAGCAGCUCAUCAGAGAGCCCAUCUUCUCACUGAAAACACUUCUCAAAUUUUCUUUCUCCUCAGACUUUUUUGCCUAUACUUUCAUCUCCUUUGUUCUGGUCAUCAAUCUGGCUGUUGGAAAAGAAUUUCUCUCAUAAAACAAUCUUGUUAGGUUCUUACAAGAUGUCACUGUAGGUAGUGUAAAUAUGAGUAAAAAGGAAGCCCAAUUCCAAAGCAUAUCAGUACAUACACCCACAUUAGUAUUUUAAUGAACAUUGCAGGCAGACUGGCAAGUUGGAGAGCUGUGAGGUUUUGAAGAAUAACAGUAACUUCUAUUUUGUUCUUGGAACAGAACUACUGUCCUACAGUAUUUCUCAAUUCAUUAAAUCUAGCAGUAAAUGUAAAGUCUCAAACACAGACACUCUAUACUCUUGGGCCCCUUUCUGCUGCCUUUGAAACAAAUGGUCAUGUUGCCAUUGAUUUUGAAAGGUGCUAACAGCUGGCCCUUUCUCUGAAAGUUCAGUUACUUAUGGAAGUGCUCUCUGGGUAGGUGUUCGGAGCUAGAAAGGGGAAAAUAAUUUCCUAGCAGUAAACUAGUAAGCAGAGCCAAAAGGCUGCAGUCAGAACCUUUGCCACAGCUGUCUUUCCGUUACUGGAGCUCUCCCUCCACCAGACUGGUGGUGAUUCCACAAGCCACCUAGACAAGUACCAAGAAGGAGCACAUUUUAGAUCUGUUAUGCUGUGCUCAAACUACUGUUUUGUUAGGAAGAUUCUGAUAGGUUUCCAGAUAUCCACUCUCCUUGCGGAAUUCUUAUUCUUAUUCUUGUUUGCCUGGACUGUUCCUUUCCUUCAAAAAUGAUGCUCUGAUAGUGUCAUCAAUUAUAACAAAUGACAAUUUUUAAUUCUUUGCCCUGCUGCCAAGUUCUUCAUUUACUAUUACUAACUACUUCCUAUGACAGCCUCUGUCAUAUUCUCCCUCUCUUUCCUAAAGUGGCUUGGCACUUUGACACAUUUUAAGCAUCUGUUUAAUCCCCCUCCUUUUCCCAUCCCAUUCCCAUGCAUGAAAACACUUCAUCACAUUUUUAAAUAACUAAUGCUUCAAUAUUACUAUUCUGCUAUCUGCUGAGGAAAAGAAGAAAGGAAAAGGUUAAGUAAAUGUGUUUCAGAGACAGCAGUUUUACAGAUGACUGCAUUUAUUUAUUACUAAAAUAUAUUUUAAGAUGUUGUGCCAGUGAAAUGAAGCUAUAACUUGAUAAAUGCUUAGUUCUAAGAGACAACACUUUCUUUAGCUAUGAAAAAUUCUGUUGAUAGUUCAAGGCCAUUAAAGAAAGAAAAGACUUACAAAGAAGGGAAGAGAUGAGUGUUCAACUACCAGCUAUUGAAAUGCACCCAGAUAUUCUCAGACAAAUCUGAGACAGUCAUGUUUCAGGCUGGAGCAAAAGUCAGGACAAGAGACUUCAUAGGCAUUUGUUGAGACCCUGACCACAGCCAGAGGAAUAACUGUAGAAAUGACUCUUGCAGUAUGAAUGAAAAGUCUGAAACUCAUCAUGAUAAACCAACUCUGGUAUGUUUUCAUAUGAAACCAAUACUGUAUAAAGCCCACUGUUCCCACAGUUCUGUCCGUUUGAAUGUUUCAGUACGUUUCCUACCAUUAUAAGAGAGCUGCACUGACUUUUGCUUUGGCUGGUUUAAAUAAGAUCAUAACGAUCCCUGAUAACUACAGAUUUAACUGCCUCCAAGUCAAAGAUUAGCAUAAUUAUAAAACUAAUAAAAGCGUAAUUUGUUAUCCAGUCUAUUUGGAAGGGUAAUUCAAUCCAUUAUAACUGGACUCUUACAUUGGUCAGGCACUAAUAAGAAACUAGAUUACAUUUAUGAGAUACGUUUACACAGUUUUUGCUACAACUUUAUGAAAAAUGCAGUAUUGAUUAGACACAUCAAUGAAGUGAAUGGAAAUUUGAUCAAUAGUUUCACCAUGAAAAACAACGUCUCAAAAACUAUUUUGAGAAAAGAUUUAGAAGUCAAACCUCACACUCCAAGAACCAUUCAAAACUCACA
Cuculus canorus (common cuckoo) is the source of this 3127-nucleotide long non-coding RNA. RefSeq lists it as uncharacterized. The record is from RefSeq and is a predicted model, not a curated record. Lineage: Eukaryota; Metazoa; Chordata; Aves; Cuculiformes; Cuculidae. The transcript has 3 exons.